AUAAAAUUUAAUUUUCUCUAAAGAGGAAAGGAGCUGAGUAGGCCCAAACCAUUCCCAAAAUCAUUUGGAUAAAGACUUAGUGCGGUUGGGGAUAAAAAAAUAAGUAAAAUGAACCUGAUUAUUUCUGUGAGAAAAAGAUAUUGGGGCAGUCUAGAUAUGCCUUUCUCAUUUGUAGAGGGGAAUGCACGUAUUUUAAAUGCCAAUUCUGUGUAACUUGCUUUCCAGGACAGAAAAGGAAAUGAAGAUGGAAGAAAACAUUGGGAUUUCCCUGGCUAAUUUGGAGAACUAUUUAGCUUAUUUAACUUUAAACACUUAACUUGGGCAAAGCAAAUAGGAGCACUGCCUCCCUGGGCAGUCACUGGAGAGGAAGUCUCCUGUAGAUGAUGAAUCAGAGCGUCCAAAUUCUCAAUUACUUAUCUCCUCCCAGUGACUACAGAGGGAGCACAGGGUGAUGACAUUCAGCAAGACAGAGCAUCAGCUGGAGACCUACAAAUGGACUAUGGACGUUCCUGCCCUGUGAGGUAUUUCAAGGAAGUCUCAGGAGAAGGAUGCUAUUUAUGAACAAACAGCUACAAACCAGCAGUAUGGCAGCAAUACUGAGGAUGUGAAAAGAAACCACAGUAAACAAAGAAGAAGCACUGGGUGAAGUUGCAGCCACUUUCUGGAUCAAAGUCACACUUCAGUCUCACAGCGGUGCUUUUGCCUCUGGCUGCAGUCCAGGAGAAAGGCCCAAGGGAGUGAGCUCCCUGGCGAGUCACGGCGUCUCUCCAAGCAGGCGUGACAUCUCCUACAAAAUCAGACUUGGCCUCACCCUGCCUGAAAGCAACUCUCUGCCCAAGCUCGGAGUAUCUGAGUUGACUUCUAAACUCAGUACCAAGCCCAUUUUUAAUUGGCAAGGAUAAGUCCUCCAGACACAUCUAAGGUUGUAAAAGCAGCAGUACCAAGUUAAACCACAGCUGGCCGAGUUCCCUCUCUGAUAAUGGCCAAUAAUGGAUCCAGAGGAGAGUAUAUGAACAAGGUAGGUAUAAAAGUGGCACGUUCCUAAUGAGCUUGUACAGCCUAUACAGCCUACAG
This 1074-nucleotide long non-coding RNA is filed under the name Taeniopygia guttata (zebra finch). Its description in RNAcentral is "lncRNA (ENSTGUG00000024162.1)". Lineage: Eukaryota; Metazoa; Chordata; Aves; Passeriformes; Estrildidae. The record is from RNAcentral.